RNAcentral lists this ribosomal RNA (465 nucleotides) under uncultured bacterium. Its description in RNAcentral is "partial 16S ribosomal RNA". It matches the Rfam family "Bacterial small subunit ribosomal RNA", at positions 339 to 795 of the family's 1533-position model. The record is from RNAcentral.
CUACGGGGUGCACCAGUGGGGAAUAUUGGACAAUGGGGGAAACCCUGAUCCAGCAAUGCCGCGUGUGUGAAGAAGGCCUGCGGGUUGUAAAGCACUUUCGGUUGGGAGGACUGCUUCUAGCACUAAUAUUGUUGGAAGUUGACGUUACCUUCAGAAGAAGCACCGGCUAACUCCGUGCCAGCAGCCGCGGUAAUACGGAGAGUGCAAGCGUUAAUCGGAAUUACUGGGCGUAACGCGCGCGUAGGCGGCUAGAUCAGUCGGGUGUGAAAGCCCCGGGCUUAACCUGGGAACUGCAUCCGAUACUGUCUAGCUUGAGUACAGGAGAGGAGAGUGGAAUUCCACAUGUAGCGGUGAAAUGCGUAGAUAUGUGGAGGAACACCAAUGGCGAAGGCAGCUCUCUGGCCUGAUACUGACGCUGAGGUGCGAAAGCGUGGGGAGCAAACAGGAUUAGAUACCCUAGUAGUC